CCCAAGCUCAGCUUCAAUGAAACGGUUGAGAAGAUCAUUUAGUAGUGUUGGAGGGUCAGAUGAGCACAGUGCUUGGCUCUAACAUGGAUGAGCUGAAUAUACAGUCAGACAAAGAGAACUGUAAAAUGUGAUCAGCUUACAAAUUCCAUGGGACCAGAUGGAAGAGAUGGAUAAUAACACUCAAAGACAUAUCCCGCAGUUAUGUAGAGGAUCAAUUACUCCAAAGAAAUUCCACAGGAGCAAUGUGACCUAGUAUCCCCAUUGUGAUAUCUGGGAUUUGGACAUUUUCUGUGAUCAAAUGAACAGCAGGGGAUUAGCUGAGUGUUUGCAAUAAAUGUCUUUUGCCUUA
Molecule: long non-coding RNA, 349 nt
Organism: Xenopus laevis (African clawed frog)
Lineage: Eukaryota; Metazoa; Chordata; Amphibia; Anura; Pipidae
Exons: 3
Source: RefSeq, a predicted model, not a curated record